Molecule: transfer RNA, 93 nt
Filed under: Candidatus Woesearchaeota archaeon
Lineage: Archaea; Nanobdellati; Candidatus Woesearchaeota
Description: tRNA-Arg
Rfam family: tRNA
About the family: Transfer RNA (tRNA) molecules are approximately 80 nucleotides in length. Their secondary structure includes four short double-helical elements and three loops (D, anti-codon, and T loops). Further hydrogen bonds mediate the characteristic L-shaped molecular structure. tRNAs have two regions of fundamental functional importance: the anti-codon, which is responsible for specific mRNA codon recognition, and the 3' end, to which the tRNAs corresponding amino acid is attached (by aminoacyl-tRNA synthetases). tRNAs cope with the degeneracy of the genetic code in two manners: having more than one tRNA (with a specific anti-codon) for a particular amino acid; and 'wobble' base-pairing, i.e. permitting non-standard base-pairing at the 3rd anti-codon position.
Source: RNAcentral
GGGCCUGUAGUCUAGCCUGGAUAGGAGCAAAUAAGGCAAAUAGGACAUAUGGCUUCGGACCAUAGGACCCCGGUUCGAAUCCGGGCAGGCUCA